GACGAACGCUGGCGGCGUGCUAAACACAUGCAAGUCGAACGCUGAAGCUCAGCUUGCUGGGUGGAUGAGUGGCGAACGGGUGAGUAACACGUGAGUAACCUGCCCUCUUCUUUGGGAUAACGCUCGGAAACGGGUGCUAAUACUGGAUAUUCACUGAUUCUCGCAUGGGGGUUGGUGGAAAGGUUUUUUCUGGUGGGGGAUGGGCUCGCGGCCUAUCAGCUUGUUGGUGGGGUGAUGGCUUACCAAGGCUUUGACGGGUAGCCGGCCUGAGAGGGUGACCGGUCACAUUGGGACUGAGAUACGGCCCAGACUCCUACGGGAGGCAGCAGUGGGGAAUAUUGCACGAUGAGCGAAAGCCUGAUGCAGCGACGCCGCGUGGGGGAUGGAGGCCCUCGGGUUGUAAACCUCUUUCGCUCAUGGUCAAGCCGCAGCUUUGGGUUGUGGUGAGGGUAGUGGGUAAAGAAGCGCCGGCUAACUACGUG
RNAcentral lists this ribosomal RNA (482 nucleotides) under uncultured bacterium. RNAcentral describes it as "partial 16S ribosomal RNA". It matches the Rfam family "Bacterial small subunit ribosomal RNA", at positions 28 to 507 of the family's 1533-position model. The record is from RNAcentral.